UACGUAGGGCGCAAGCGUUAUCCGGAAUUAUUGGGCGUAAAGAGCUCGUAGGCGGUUUGUCGCGUCUGCCGUGAAAGUCCGGGGCUCAACUCCGGAUCUGCGGUGGGUACGGGCAGACUAGAGUGAUGUAGGGGAGACUGGAGUUCCUGGUGUAGCGGUGAAAUGCGCAGAUAUCAGGAGGAACACCAGUGGCGAAGGCGAGUCUCUGGGAUGAUGCUGACGCUGAGGCGCGAAAGCCAGGGGAGCAAACGGG
This 253-nucleotide ribosomal RNA is filed under the name uncultured bacterium. RNAcentral describes it as "partial 16S ribosomal RNA". It matches the Rfam family "Bacterial small subunit ribosomal RNA", at positions 524 to 776 of the family's 1533-position model. The record is from RNAcentral.